UGCUCCAUCUUGGGCAAAUUUGGGGUCACCUUUUUGAAAAGCUUCUAUAUUUGCAGUUAAAAUUGCAUCAUGAUCAUCUGCACAAUUACUAAUGGGUUUCUUCAGCCCAGAUCUCCUCUGAAUCAGCUGGUUAAUGAAGUGCAGUGACACGGUUGCUUUCUGCUCCUGUAAUUGAAGCUUCAGCUGAUUCUCUAGAGCUCCCUUUUCUUCCUCGCCAUUGUUGUGAGUCCUCCUUCGCGAUCAAAUGUCGUUGAGAAUGAUAAAAGCUCGCCAGAUAAUCAAGGACUUCGCAGUAGGAUAGGCGGUGGGUCUCUCGUUGAUAGAUGAAUAGCAGAGGAGAUGAGCAGCAGAGAGAUUGCAGAUAAACAAAAGCCAGUGAGUUAUGAUUUGGG
This 392-nucleotide unclassified non-coding RNA is filed under the name Hevea brasiliensis (rubber tree). The record is from RNAcentral. Lineage: Eukaryota; Viridiplantae; Streptophyta; Magnoliopsida; Malpighiales; Euphorbiaceae.